RNAcentral lists this ribosomal RNA (253 nucleotides) under uncultured bacterium. Its description in RNAcentral is "partial 16S ribosomal RNA". It matches the Rfam family "Bacterial small subunit ribosomal RNA", at positions 524 to 776 of the family's 1533-position model. The record is from RNAcentral.
GACGUAGGGCGCGAGCGUUGUCCGGAUUUAUUGGGCGUAAAGAGCUCGUAGGCGGCUUGUCGCGUCGUUCGUGAAAACCUGCAGCUCAACUGCAGGCUUGCGGUCGAUACGGGCAGGCUAGAGUUCGGUAGGGGAGACUGGAAUUCCUGGUGUAGCGGUGAAAUGCGCAGAUAUCAGGAGGAACACCCGUGGCGAAGGCGGCUCUCUGGGACGGUACUGACACUGAGACGCGAAAGCGUGGGGAGCGAACAGG